This 504-nucleotide ribosomal RNA is filed under the name uncultured bacterium. RNAcentral's name for it is "bacterial SSU rRNA". It matches the Rfam family "Bacterial small subunit ribosomal RNA", at positions 28 to 535 of the family's 1533-position model. The record is from RNAcentral.
GACGAACGCUGGCGGCGUGCCUAACACAUGCAAGUCGAGCGGGGACAUUCAAGGAGUAAUCUGAGAGUGUUCUAGCGGCGGACGGGUGAGUAACGCGUGAGCAACCUGUCCUUAUCUGGGGGAUAAGAAGCCGAAAGGCUUUCUAAUACCGCAUGAGACCACAGAGCCACAUGGUUCAGGGGUCAAAGGAGCAAUCCGGGUAAGGGUGGGCUCGCGUCUGAUUAGCUAGUUGGUGGGUAACGGCUCACCAAGGCUUUGAUCAGUAGCCGACCUGAGAGGGUGAUCGGCCACAUUGGAACUGAGACACGGUCCAAACUCCUACGGGAGGCAGCAGGUGGGGAAUAGUUGGGCAAGUGGGCGAAAGCCUGACCCAGCAACGCCGCGUGAAGGAAGAAGGUUUCGGAUCGUAAACUUCUAUCCUAGGUGAAGAUAAUGACGGUAGCCUAGAAGGAACGCCCCGGACUAACUACGUGACCAGCAGACCGACGGUAAAAUAGACGUACU